CGUUAUAACGUGAGGCUUGGGAGUCGGGCAGUGGCUUGAAUCCACACUCCAAAACUUCCCAGGCAAGAAACUUAACCUUUCCGUGCCUCAGUGUUCUCAUCUGUAAAAUGGGGGUUACUUAAUAGAACCUCCCUCAGAUGUCUGUUGGGAGGGUUUGAUGCGAUCACUGACGCAUAGUGCUUAGCAAGGGGCCUGGCACGCCAUCUGCGCUCCAUCAGUGUUCGUUUCGUGAACAUUCUUAAGGAGAAGCUCACUAAAAUGGAGUCAGGAGGUCGGGCAGGCGGAGCUCGCAAGUCUUACCACUCAUAGCCGAUUGAAAAUCCAACAGGAAGCCAGGGAGCAUGCAGUUCUCUGCUAUGCCCGAAUAAACCCAUC
RNAcentral lists this long non-coding RNA (375 nucleotides) under Mustela putorius furo (domestic ferret). RNAcentral describes it as "lncRNA (ENSMPUG00000024301.1)". Lineage: Eukaryota; Metazoa; Chordata; Mammalia; Carnivora; Mustelidae. The record is from RNAcentral.